AGGACGAACGCUGGCGGCGUGCUUAACACAUGCAAGUCACGGGGGCCCGCAAGGGUAACCGGCGAACGGGUGCGUAACACGUGAGCAACCUGCCUAGAUGUGGGGGAUAGCCGGCCCAACGGCCGGGUAAUACCGCAUACGGUCACGAGGAGGAGUCUCCUUGUGAAGAAACCUCCGGGGCAUUUAGAGGGGCUCGCGGCCUAUCAGCUAGUUGGCGGGGUAAUGGCCCACCAAGGCUUCGACGGGUAGCUGGUCUGAGAGGAUGGCCAGCCACAUUGGGACUGAGAGACGGCCCAGACUCCUACGGGAGGCAGCAGUGGGAAUCUUGCGCAAUGGCCGAAAGGCUGACGCAGCGACGCCGCGUGUGGGAGGACGCCCUUCGGGGUGUAAACCACUGUUGCCCGGGACGAACAUCCACUUUCGAGUGGACUGACGGUACCGGGUGAGGAAGCACCGGCUAACUCCGCGCCAGCAGCCGC
RNAcentral lists this ribosomal RNA (479 nucleotides) under uncultured bacterium. RNAcentral's name for it is "SSU rRNA". It matches the Rfam family "Bacterial small subunit ribosomal RNA", at positions 26 to 518 of the family's 1533-position model. The record is from RNAcentral.